GACGAACGCUGGCGGCGUGCUUAACACACGCAAGUCGAACGGAAAGGCCUCUUUCGGGGGGUACUCGAGUGGCGAACGGGUGAGUAACACGUGAGUAACCUGCCCUUGACUUUGGGAUAACUUCAGGAAACUGGGGCUAAUACCGGAUAGGAGCUCCUGCUGCAUGGUGGGGGUUGGAAAGUUUCGGCGGUUGGGGAUGGACUCGCGGCUUAUCAGCUUGUUGGUGGGGUAGUGGCUUACCAAGGCUUUGACGGGUAGCCGGCCUGAGAGGGUGACCGGCCACAUUGGGACUGAGAUACGGCCCAGACUCCUACGGGAGGCAGCAGUGGGGAAUAUUGCACAAUGGGUGGAAGCCUGAUGCAGCAACGCCGUGUGCGGGAUGACGGCCUUCGGGUUGUAAACCGCUUUCGCUCAUGACGAAGCUUUGUGUGACGGUAGUGGGUAAAGAAGCACCGGCUAACUACGUG
This 467-nucleotide ribosomal RNA is filed under the name uncultured bacterium. RNAcentral's name for it is "partial 16S ribosomal RNA". It matches the Rfam family "Bacterial small subunit ribosomal RNA", at positions 28 to 507 of the family's 1533-position model. The record is from RNAcentral.